AUUUUCUACUUACAGUAAGACCAUCACACUGAAGGUCCACGAGCCUAUAUCCAAGGUGGCGAUCCAGACAGACAUCAAGCUAUUGGCCAACUGCUCCUGUACGGUAUGGCUGGUGUGCAACGUGUCCUGCUACCCCAACAUUACCUACACCUGGGAGAGAGACAAUGAGAUCUACGGGGAUGCCCAGCAGAUUUACUUCUCUCUCUCACCAGCAGAGAGAAACAUCAGUGUAAAGUGCAACGCCUCCAACCUAGUCAGUUGGAAAACUGCCUUUGAGAUGGCAAAUGAUGUGUAGUAAUGACACAUCCACCCCAGGACUGGCGUGGUAUACCAUCUACAUCGGAAUAUCAGUGGGAGGCGCUGUGGUGCUGAUCCUCACUGUAGCUGUGGCAGUGUGCUACUGCAGGGGCCAAAGUAACACAGAAGAUCUAAUUGACAACACAAUAUAUGCUGAUGUUAUGGACAACACAAGAAGUAGAGAUACAAGAUCAAACAGUCAUGUAAACCCAGUAUCCA
Molecule: long non-coding RNA, 516 nt
Organism: Oncorhynchus tshawytscha (Chinook salmon)
Lineage: Eukaryota; Metazoa; Chordata; Actinopteri; Salmoniformes; Salmonidae
Source: Ensembl